This is a long non-coding RNA of Salvia miltiorrhiza (redroot sage), 448 nucleotides long. RefSeq lists it as uncharacterized. The record is from RefSeq and is a predicted model, not a curated record. NCBI's taxonomy places the organism in Eukaryota, Viridiplantae, Streptophyta, Magnoliopsida, Lamiales, Lamiaceae. The transcript is spliced from 2 exons.
UAUUGGCUUAUUUUUUUUUAUAGUUUACUGUUUAAACAUGGCACCUUCCUCUCUCCCUCAUGCAUCUCAGCGGCAAAUGCAGUGUUACUUUUACUUUGAUCAAAGAAAUCCAGUUCUCUUCUCUGAAUUGACAUUUAAAUAUCUUAAGUGUAAGCUCAUAACAUCUCAUGAUCUCUGUCUUUGUCUCUUAAACAGGUACUAUUGUUGAUGAGAAAUCUCUCGAGCAAUUUGGCUAGUCGUGAUUUUGAGGAUCAUAGAAGGCUGCUUUCAUCAUAUGAGACUGACCUCGAGAAGGAUGAUGCUUUUGAUGUAAUUGAUUCUAUCCUUUGUAGCCAUUCUGAAGGUGCAGGCUAACUUUGUGUAUUAUUGUAGCCAAAAGAAUAUGAUAUGAUUGUAUUUGUACAAUAAGUGUCUUUUUUACACUUAUUUAUAUAAUAAUUUUAGAGCA